RNAcentral lists this long non-coding RNA (4185 nucleotides) under Homo sapiens (human). Its description in RNAcentral is "HSALNT0318124". Lineage: Eukaryota; Metazoa; Chordata; Mammalia; Primates; Hominidae. The record is from RNAcentral.
AUCCUGCUUGGCCAGCUGAAGGUUUGAGACUCAGGAUGGGGUCAUGGCUGAGACUAUGAGGGCUGCUCGUGCAUGACCCUGCCUGCUGGCCUCCAUGGGCCCACUAUCUGAAUGUGGUUACCCUUCUCCCCAGGACCAGGUGCCACCUCCUCUGGGAAGCUUUCCCUGCCCGUCCACAGGGUAUGCCUCCUUGUUCCUCUCCUGCCAUCGGUUUACGUGCCUGUCUCCAUCAACAGACCAGGAGCUCCUGAGGACAGGGACUGAGUCUGCCUGAUUCAUCUCUGCAUUCCUAGCACUUACCUUGGUGCUUAGUGAAAGCUCGAACCUGCCUGGGUUCCCACCUUGUCUCUGCUACCCCCAGCUCUGUGAACUCAGAGUCAUUUUUCUCUCCCCGAGUGGCACCGGGCUCAGCAGACACUCUGGCCAUGAAGGCAUCUUCUGACUCAAGCAGGUCUAGAUGUCUACCCCCAAGGAAUCCCAGAACAGUUGAUCUCUCUUUUUAUUUUUUUAUUUUUUGAGAUGGAGUUUUGCUCUUGUUGCCCAGGCUGGAGUGCAAUGGCGUGAUCUCGGCUCACUGCAACCUCUGCCUCCCAGGUUCAAGCAAUUCUCCUGCCUCAGCCUCCCGAGUAGCUGGGAUUAUAGGCAUGCACCACCACGCCCAGGUAAUUUUGUGUUUUUAGUAGAGACGGGGUUUCUCCAUGUUGAGGAUGGUCUCGAACUCCUGACCUCAGGAGUUCGCCCGCCUCGGCCUCCCAAAGUGCUGGGAUUACAGGCAUGAGUCACCAGCGCAGUCGAUCUCUUCUAUAACGUUUGUUCCAUGGUGUUCUGUAGAAUGUGUAUCCGGCCUUGUGCUAAGCCCUGGUGCACUGCGUCUUAUCCAGUCUUUCCAGGAGAAACUGUAGCUUAGAGAUGUUGGAGAACUUACUCUUGCAGCACAACCCAUAAGUGGUGGUUUCAGGAAGAAGAUGCUUGGCACAGCACCAGCCAGGGAAUUGCCCAAGUGUCAGCUGUUAUGUCAUCCGUGCCACUAGUUCAGUGAAACUAACAUGAGACCUGGGACUAGCUGUGUGGCCUUGGAAGAGUGAUCUCUUUCUAAGCCUCAGUUUCCUCACCUGUAAAAGAAGGAUGAUAACAGCUACCCCUGGGGUUUUGGAAGGUUGUGGAGCAGUGGGUGGUAGAUGACCCUGAGAGAAACAGCAUAACUGAAGCAUACCCUGAGAAUGACCCCAUGGUCUGAGAAGAAUAUAUGUUCAGAGUUCUGAGCUAAGGAACGUGGGAGUGGCCAACCCAGAGUUUCAUUCCUUAUCUGAGUAACAUCUGAGCUCCUGGCCCCAUCCUAUGGAAUGCAGGCCGUACAGGGGAUUGAGACCCUGUGUUUUGGGUUAUGUGAACGUUGCCAGGUGGAGGGAGGUUGUUAGGGGGAGGCGCCAAGGAAAAGUGCUACAUAAACCACAUGCUUUUUGCAAGCAGUUGAGGUUCUCCUGUCCACCCAGCCACCACUGGUCCAUCCCUGUAAGCUUCCGUCUAAUGAAGCCCUAGGUCUCGGUGCUGUCCCUGGGUCUCUUCUUCAGCCUCUUGAAUCUGGUGCCAUCCCUAUUGAAAUCAAUAGGGCCUGACAGGCAGGCUGAAGAAUGUGUGCAGGAAGGUCCUCUGACAAAAGGGGUUCCAACAGGGUUUUUCAAUAAAGGUCCCAGGAUAGUCACAGCCAUGCAGUCCAGGGGGCAGUGGGUCUUGGCCACCAAGUGCAGUGGGGCAGGCCUGGAAGUGGCCUGAGGCAAACCCUGCCCCAUAGUGUGCCACACACAUGGAAAAGGACACCCAACCCAGUCAAAGCCUCCUCUCUUUUGGGAAGACAGUUGCUGUGCCUCCAGAGGGACACACGUUUGGAUGAAGGUGGCUGUCCUGCCCAGCUUCUUCUCUGGUUCUCUUUGAAUCAGGAACAGCUGAGGACCUAGGGUGGCUCAGCCGAUGAGGGCACGCACUCAAGUGGUUCCCACCAGACACAAUGGUGUGCAUCACUUCCCCUCUCCAAGUUCAAUGUCAUCAUAUUGGUAGCUUGAAAUUGGCUGUAGUGAGAGCAUUUACACCAUGGAAAUUGGCAGACACAGUCUAUAUUUUGUUCUUUUGUUUUUUUCAGAGCCAACUACUAAGCCUGUAGCAGCCUCCCAAACUGCCCAGUCUUGUUCAGAUGCACCUCCAGAAACACAGGGGUCCAAAAUGCCCCUUCCCAGACACCCUGAGGAGUAGAACAGUGCCAGCAGGCUCCAGGGAUGAGGGACUAGCUACCACAUUCCCUUUCCCAAGCCUCAGUUUCCCCACCUGUAAGAUGAGGGAUAUGGGCUCUGACUUUCUGAGUUUGGAAAAUAAAGUGCUCCCCAAACUGGGCUGCUUUCUCUGCCUCAAUUUUUCUUACUGGAGAGUCAAAGGCCCUGAAUUACUUUCAUCUAAGGGAUGCUUAGGCAUGGGCACACAGGACACUCACACCUUGCUGGUGGCCACACCCUCCCGCUGACCCUGCAGGACAGUUUGGCUCUGUCCGUCUAUUCAAGAGGUAAAUGCUCAUCCCCUUUGACCCAGCAAUUCCGCUCCUAGAAGCUCAUUCCAGAGAAUCACAUACAUGUGUGUGCCAAGAAGCACUUGCUCAUGGGGAUGUCCAUCCAUUCAGCUGCUAACAAGCCCUCACUUGGCCAAGCUCAAAUUCUAUUGUGGGGGAGGGUAACCUUGAGUGGCCUUAGAAAAACAAAUUGUCGCUUCCCCAGCUCCUGCCUCUGUGAGUCACCCCCCCAAGUGCUCUGCCUGCAGCCACUUGCCCUGGCAGGAAGACCCUUGGGCAGGCCCCACCAUGGCUCCACUCUGGAAUGCUGGGCACUUUGCCCCACUACGCUCUACAAAGGCAUCCCUUCCUUCUGGGCAGGUGAGCAGUCUCUCUAUACCCCUCACCUGGCUUUCAGGCUGCAUGCUCCUCUUUACCAACCUGUGGGUGGAAACACCCAGUCCUCUCCAAAACACCCUCACUCCAGUCUCUCAGCCAUUUUUAGCAAACUGAUGAUGGGCCAAGGUUGAUACACCCAGCACCCCUUAGUCUCCCCUUGAUCCCUCCUUCAGAGAGGUUCUGGCUCCCUCUUCAGAAGGUGUGGGCACCCAGUAUCUUUGCUCUCGGCACAAAUUCUGGGCAGAGAGAGACCCAUCUAACAUGCCCAUUACCAUAGUGAUGCCACGUUGACCACUCACCAUGUGGAAGGCAUUGUGCUGAGCACUUGAUGUCCAUGAUGUCAUCAAAUCCUCAGGUGACCCUGUAACCUCAUUUGUGGUCCACUUUUGCAGAUGAGGAGAUGUGCUCAGAGAGGUUAAGGGACAUGCCCAGGAUGCACAGCUGGAGGGUGGCAGAACUGAACGUAAGACUGGGCUUAUCUGAUUCCAAAGCCCAAGCUGUGCAUACCACGCACGCUGCCUGUAAACACACCCCGCACCUCCAGCCUCUGCCUUCACUUGUUUUUCAAGUGACUAAGGGUCCUACUUUUGAGUCAGGAUCUCUGAGCUGCAACUAGCCUUUGGGACAGGCUUAAGUUCAGGGCUUGGCAGUUACAGGCUGCCAAUAAAUAUUUGUUGAAUGAAUGAAUGCUUUGUGGCCUCUCCAGGACUGGGUUAGAGCUGGCAUGAACACUCCUUACCCUCUGUUUUCUUCAUCAAACCUCCCUAAGUACCUGCUUUGGGCCAGAGGAGACACGGACUCAGAGAAGAGGCAGGUGGUCUCACUGUUCAACUCCCCUGGGCCCUCGGCACAGGCUAAUCAUCAAAUGCCGCUCCUGUGCAGGACAUGGGUGCAGUCUCAGAGGUCCUCAGGUUGUCGGAGGACACAGAAGCAGGCUCCGAUGAUGCUCUGUCCGCCCACCCUUGGCAAGCUCACCUGCAGAUGGCUUCCAUCAUUCCAGCUAAGGGCCACUUCUGUCUGUCUGCCUGUGGCAACCUCAGGCCACAGGACCAGCCUGGGAGUGUGCCAACCUGUCCGCACUGCAGGCCAGACAUGCUGGGGAGGCAAUGUCUACAGUUGCCCUCUACCAGGAGGGAGAGCAGUUUAUGGGUGAAAUCAGUUUUCUCGUGCCUCAGUGGGGUGUGCUCCACAGUCUCCCAGAGAGCCCCACUAGGAGUGAGCCCCAGUUGCCCACAGCUGUGACCUGUGUGUUG